GCGACAUAAUGUCCAUAAAAUGUAAAUACAAUAAAUGUUAUAAAUUCCGAGUUUGAUUUUUUAAUAUUUACUGUUACAAAUUAAAUGUAUUAGUAUAAAUUAAUAAAUGUAAACUGACGAUUUUAGUAAACAAGUGAAUUUUGAAUGAAACGGAUCGAAAUAAAAAACAUAUAAAAAACUAUAUCUCGUUGUGUAAAAAUAUAAAAAAUCGCAAUGGAAAAUACGGAAUAUAAAUAUGAAAUUAUGGGGGGUUUCGUAAAAAUUCAAAACUUUUAAUUUUGACAGAUGAAAAUCAAGUUUUUCGAAAAAACAUGAAUACCUGGAGUUUACAAGAUACGUAUGUUAUUUCAAAAGCUGUAAAGUAAGUUUGUUUAAGAAAAGAUGGAGUUUGUGAGCCGUUAAACUUAGAUUUUCAGCAUAACCAUGCUCCAGCUGAAAGAUUAAUAAAUAAAUUUCGAAUAAUAAAUAAGGUAAAAAGUGUGUGUGGUGAAAAAGCAACAAUUAAAAGGAAAGGAGUGCGGGAAGUUUUUGACGGGACUUGUAUGGAAGAGAAACAACUGGCCCCGUCAGUCACAUUUCCAAAAAUGAGACGUCAACUAUACAUGAUUCGGAGUGAAAAUAUGCCAAAAAAUCCUACGGAUCCUAGUGAACUUAAAACUAUAUUUCAGAAUGAUGAAUUCUUUAAAGAAUAUGGAUAUUCCAAACAUACCGAUAAACCUCUUUAUCGAGAAACCAUUUUAGAAGACGGCUUUUCAUAUUCCAUUUUUAUAUCACCCACAAUUGCAGACGUAAUUGAGAAGAAACCAAAAGGUCGUCGAUAUUUAAUUGAUGGUACAUUUAAAACUGUUCCUUGCUGUGGUUUCAAACAGUUACUCAUUAUACAUUUCUAUUAUUUGGAGCAUACUUUUCCUUUUAUUUACAUUUUAAUGUCUAAGAGGUCGAAAGAAGUGUAUCAACACAUGUUCCAAUUCAUUAAUAAUUACUUAUUUAAAUUUGAAGCUUUGGCAUUUCAUACUGAUUAUGAAAUUGCUUUAAGGAAAGCUCUAGAAUCAACGUUCCCAACUGCGACAAUGAAAGGUUGCUGGUUUCACUACUGCCAAGCUUUAAAACGCAAGGGACAGAAAAUAACCAAUAAAAUUCACCAAAAUUAUUAAAACAAACGAGGACUGCAGCAAUUGGUAUCGUAAAAUGUUAAAUUUGCCUUUAAUAAGUCCAGAUCAUAUACAAGAAAUGUUUCUUAAUUUAAAAAAAGAUUUAUUGAGUAUGUCCAAAAGUAAGCAGGAUUGCCUAAAUAUUUUUUUAAAAUAUUUUGAAAAGGAGUGGAUGAAAAAGUACACAUGUACAGCACAAAUGUCUGAAAAGAAGAAAGAAGUUACACCUUACAUUCAAAAACUUAUAACAAAUGGCGAAGCAGCAGUUACGAUUGAUAUUUGGACCGAUAAUUUCGUUAAAAGGAAUAUUUUGUGUGCCACUUUACAUUUUCAAGUCAAUUUUAUUAAUGUUGAUCUAACACUUGGAAUAAAAUCGAUGGACUUUAAGUCAAGUACUGCAGUUAAUAUUAAAAAUAAACUAUGCUUUUGGAAGAAUUUGUAGUAUCACCCCUGGCAAAGGCGGUAUUCGUUACGGAUCGUGGAAGCAGUAUUAUUUGCGCUCUAAAUGAUUUUAGUAGAAUAGACUGCUCAGUAUAUCUUUCAAACAUUUUAAACGAUGCUUUCAAGUCAACAGUGGAAUUAAACGGAAUAACACAUUUCUGUAAAAAAUGGUUAAAUAUUUCAAAAAGGCCAACAAAAAGCACAUGCUGGACACUGAAGAACUGUAAAUAGCAUAUUAUUUUUAAAUUCUUUAUAUACAAAAAUGUUUGAUAACUAUUUUUUUAUUUAUUUAUAUUUUUUAGUUAUCAUUUUAUUAAUAUUUUCUAAAAAUUUGUUUGUUAAUAUUAU
Molecule: unclassified non-coding RNA, 1940 nt
Filed under: Lucilia cuprina (Australian sheep blowfly)
Lineage: Eukaryota; Metazoa; Arthropoda; Insecta; Diptera; Calliphoridae
Description: rING finger protein B-like, transcript variant X1
Source: RNAcentral